Molecule: long non-coding RNA, 1080 nt
Organism: Rhea pennata
Lineage: Eukaryota; Metazoa; Chordata; Aves; Rheiformes; Rheidae
Exons: 6
Source: RefSeq, a predicted model, not a curated record
CGCUGCCCAUUUCCAUACUUGCAGGAAGGGUGUUGUCAAGUGAGGAAGCGUGAUUACAAAGUCUGCUGAGUAUGUAAGGGAAAGAAUGAAAUAUUGCACUUGCCAUGGUCCUAAUUUUGUUCUUCUCUUCAAUUAUCUAAAGGAAAUACGAGUCAUCAAUCUCAUGAGAGUCAUCUUGCCAUCUGUACCAGUAUUGCUCCAGGCUUCCAUAUGAAAGUCCAAUCUGGCGGUAUAAAUACUGGAUAAUGAAGAGUAGGUGUUAAAGUUUCUGACUGAUUGGGAGAUGAGUCUGUGUCUAUGAAGGAGAGUCUUUACUCUGCACACCACUGCUGACCCCAGAAAUGACCCACAGGAACUACUGGCAAAAGGAGUGAAAAGCUGGAAUAAGAACAUAGGAAAAUGUGCCUGGAAGACCAAGGAUGAGCCAUCAGUUUCAUCACACAGACACUGGGACUGAUGUACCUUGGAUAUGGAUAAUGAAUAUUGGAGGUCUGGAGGAUGCUGCUUGCUUUUCCUUCUCUGGGAAGAACCCAGCAGCUAGAACUGCCCUGCUUUCCUCACACUCUGUGCAGGUUGACUUCUGCUUCCUACCCAUGGACUUAUGUGACGGAUGAGAAAGGACAGUCUUCCUUAUCUGUAUCCCUGUGUUGGCUGCUCGUAAAAGUUUAUGACAACCUCCCUGAACUUCGAGUUGUGGGAAAGCAAAGAUGGCUCUCGAAAAGAGGAAAGAAGAAGACAGUCCAGCCGUAGUGCGCCUCUCACACCUCUAGCAGCACAGAGACCUGCUUAUGGGCAAAGGAUUAGGAAAGCCAUGGUGGCUGCUGCCACCGAGCAGGCGUGACCACCGUUGCAGCCUGCUGGCAGAGGGCUGCUCUCCUUCUCCACUGCUUUCUUGAGGUGCCUGGUGCCUCUACAACUCCCCUCCCCUUGGGCAAGUCGAGGAGGCGGAGAGCAGCCUUGGCACCGUCCUGCAGAAAAUGUCUUUGUUCUGCACAGUUUCUGGAAGCAUUUUGCUGUCUUGAGGAUGGAAAUUCUGGCUGCUGAGUUCCUCUCAUCAGAGCAAUGUCUGACUGCCUUUGU